AUACCGUGGUGUGGGCAUGCUUGAAUGUAGUCCUGGAGACAUUCCUAGACUUCCGGGAUGGUUUCAUCCGGGAUUUGUUGAAUUCUAGAAAUCCUAUUCUGAAGGGC
Small nucleolar RNA from Panicum virgatum (switchgrass), 107 nucleotides. Lineage: Eukaryota; Viridiplantae; Streptophyta; Magnoliopsida; Poales; Poaceae. The record is from RefSeq and is a predicted model, not a curated record.